GAUCAGCUCAGGAUGAACGCUGGCGGCGUGCUUAACACAUGCAAGUCGAACGGGAAAUACUUUAUUGAAACUUCGGUCGAUUUAAUCUAUUUCUAGUGGCGGACGGGUGAGUAACGCGUGGGUAACCUGCCUUAUACUGGGGGAUAACAGCCAGAAAUGACUGCUAAUACCGCAUAAGCGCACGGGGCCGCAUGGUCCUGUGUGAAAAACUCCGGUGGUAUAAGAUGGACCCGCGUUGGAUUAGCUAGUUGG
This 252-nucleotide ribosomal RNA is filed under the name uncultured bacterium. RNAcentral's name for it is "partial 16S ribosomal RNA". It matches the Rfam family "Bacterial small subunit ribosomal RNA", at positions 15 to 252 of the family's 1533-position model. The record is from RNAcentral.